CCUACGGGAGGCUGCAGUGAGGAAUAUUGGUCAAUGGGCGCAAGCCUGAACCAGCCAAGUCGCGUGAAGGAGGAAUGCCCAAAGGGUCGUAAACCUCUUUUACCGAGUAACAAAAGGCGGGACGUGUCCCGUUCUGUAGGUACUCUGAGAAAAAGGAUCGGCUAACUCCGUGCCAGCAGCCGCGGUAAUACGGAGGAUACGAGCGUUAUCCGGGUUUAUUGGGUUUAAAGGGGGCGACGAUGGGUUGUUAAGUCAGUAGUGAAAGUAUGCGGCUUAACCGUAAAAUUGCAAUUGAUACUGGCGGCCUUGAGUGCGGUUGAGGUAGGCGGAAUUCGUGGUGUAGCGGUGAAAUGCAGAGAUAUCGCGCAGAACUCCGAUUGCGAAGGCAGCCUAC
Molecule: ribosomal RNA, 394 nt
Filed under: uncultured bacterium
Lineage: Bacteria
Description: partial 16S ribosomal RNA
Rfam family: Bacterial small subunit ribosomal RNA
Source: RNAcentral